CCUACGGGUGGCAGCAGUGAGGAAUAUUGGUCAAUGGACGCAAGUCUGAACCAGCCAUGCCGCGUGCAGGAAGACGGCUCUAUGAGUUGUAAACUGCUUUUGUACGAGGGUAAACGCAGAUACGCGUAUCUGUCUGAAAGUAUCGUACGAAUAAGGAUCGGCUAACUCCGUGCCAGCAGCCGCGGUAAUACGGAGGAUUCAAGCGUUAUCCGGAUUUAUUGGGUUUAAAGGGUGCGUAGGCGGUCGGAUAAGUUAGAGGUGAAAUCCCGAGGCUCAACUUCGGAAUGGCCUCUGAUACUGUUCGGCUUGAGAGUAGUUGCGGUAGGCGGAAUGUAUGGUGUAGCGGUGAAAUGCUUAGAGAUCAUACAGAACACCGAUUGCGAAGGCAGCUUACCAAGCUACUUCUGACGUUGAGGCACGAAAGCGUGGGGAGCAAACAGGAUUAGAUACCCUAGUAGUC
This 460-nucleotide ribosomal RNA is filed under the name uncultured bacterium. RNAcentral's name for it is "partial 16S ribosomal RNA". It matches the Rfam family "Bacterial small subunit ribosomal RNA", at positions 338 to 795 of the family's 1533-position model. The record is from RNAcentral.